Molecule: non-coding RNA, 23 nt
Filed under: Xenopus tropicalis (tropical clawed frog)
Lineage: Eukaryota; Metazoa; Chordata; Amphibia; Anura; Pipidae
Also listed under: 3 other names
Source: RNAcentral
GGGGGAUUAGCUCAAAUGGUAGA